CCUACGGGAGGCAGCAGUGGGGAAUAUUUGGCAAUGGGCGCAAGCCUGACCCAGCAACGCCGCGUGAAGGAAGAAGGCUUUCGGGUUGUAAACUUCUUUUCUCAGGGACGAAGAAAGUGACGGUACCUGAGGAAUAAGCCACGGCUAACUACGUGCUAGCAGCCGCGGUAAUACGUAGGUGGCAAGCGGUAUUCGGAUUUACUGGGUGUAAAGGGCGUGUAGGCGGGAGAGUAAGUCAGAUGUGAAAACCAUGGGCUCAACCUGUGGCCUGCAUUUGAAACUGUUUGUCUUGAGUACUGGAGGGGGAGACGGAAUUCCCAGUGUAGCAGUGAAAUGCGUAGAUAUUAGGAGGAACACCAGUGGCGAAGGCGGUCUGCUGGACAGCAACUGACGCUGAGGUGCGAAGGCGUGGGGAGCAAACAGGAUUAGAUACCCUAGUAGUC
RNAcentral lists this ribosomal RNA (443 nucleotides) under uncultured bacterium. RNAcentral describes it as "partial 16S ribosomal RNA". It matches the Rfam family "Bacterial small subunit ribosomal RNA", at positions 338 to 795 of the family's 1533-position model. The record is from RNAcentral.